Molecule: ribosomal RNA, 433 nt
Filed under: uncultured bacterium
Lineage: Bacteria
Description: partial 16S ribosomal RNA
Rfam family: Bacterial small subunit ribosomal RNA
Source: RNAcentral
AACGAACGCUGGCGGCAUGCCUAACACAUGCAAGUCGAACGAGACCUUCGGGUGUAGUGGCGCACGGGUGCGUAACGCGUGGGAACCUGCCUUUAGGUUCGGAAUAACUCAGAGAAAUUUGAGCUAAUACCGGAUGAUGUCUUCGGACCAAAGAUUUAUUGCCUUGAGAUGGGCCCGCGUUGGAUUAGCUAGUUGGUGGGGUAAAGGCCUACCAAGGCGACGAUCCCUAGCUGGUCUGAGAGGCUGAUCAGCCACCCUGGGACUGAGACACGGCCCAGACUCCUACGCGAGGCAGCAGUGGGGAAUAUUGGACAAUGGGCGAAGUCAUGAUCCAGCACUGCCGCGUGAGUGCUGAAGGCCUUAGGGUUGUAAAGCUCUUUUACCCGAGCUGAUAAUGACAGUAUCGGGAGAAUAAGCCCCGGCUAACUCCGUG